RNAcentral lists this small nuclear RNA (297 nucleotides) under Vulpes vulpes (red fox). RNAcentral's name for it is "7SK RNA (ENSVVUG00000023348.1)". It matches the Rfam family "7SK RNA". Rfam says of the family: 7SK was discovered as an abundant small nuclear RNA in the mid-70s but a possible function has only recently been suggested. Two independent studies have found that 7SK RNA binds the CDK9/cyclin T complex (known as elongation factor P-TEFb). The record is from Rfam by way of RNAcentral. Lineage: Eukaryota; Metazoa; Chordata; Mammalia; Carnivora; Canidae.
GGAUGUGAGGGCAAUCUGGCUGCAACAUCUGUCACCCCAUUGAUCGCCAGGGUUGAUUCGGCUGAUCUGGCUGGCUAGGUGGGUGUCCCCUUCUUCCCUCAGAGCUCCAGUGUGUCCCUCCCGAAGCUGUAUGAUUGGUAGAAGAGGAAGACCAUCCCCAAUAAAGGAGGACUGUUCUUUCGGUCAAGAGUACAUGAGUAGCUCUACUCCCCUGCUAGGACCUCUAAAAAAAGCUUCUUUUAAGUGAAUUUUAUGGACAUUUUAUAACCUGUGAAAUAAUGUCUGCAUAUUAUAGCA